Molecule: ribosomal RNA, 456 nt
Filed under: uncultured bacterium
Lineage: Bacteria
Description: bacterial SSU rRNA
Rfam family: Bacterial small subunit ribosomal RNA
Source: RNAcentral
AACGAACGCUGGCGGCAUGCCUAACACAUGCAAGUCGAACGAGACCUUCGGGUCUAGUGGCGCACGGGUGCGUAACGCGUGGGAAUCUGCCCUUAGGUUCGGAAUAACUUCGGGAAACUGAAGCUAAUACCGGAUGAUGACGUAAGUCCAAAGAUUUAUCGCCUAAGGAUGAGCCCGCGUUGGAUUAGCUAGUUGGUGAGGUAAAGGCUCACCAAGGCGACGAUCCAUAGCUGGUCUGAGAGGAUGAUCAGCCACACUGGGACUGAGACACGGCCCAGACUCCUACGGGAGGCAGCAGUGGGGAAUAUUGGACAAUGGGCGAAAGCCUGAUCCAGCAAUGCCGCGUGAGUGAUGAAGGGCCUUAGGGUUGUAAAGCUCUUUUACCCGGGUAUGAUAAAUGACAGUACCGGGAGGAAUAAGCUCCGGCUAACUCCGUGCCAGCAGCCGCGGUAAAGU